GACGAACGCUGGCGGCGUGCUUAACACAUGCAAGUCGAACGGAAAGGCCCUGCUUUUGUGGGGUGCUCGAGUGGCGAACGGGUGAGUAACACGUGAGUAACCUGCCCUUGACUUUGGGAUAACUUCAGGAAACUGGGGCUAAUACCGGAUAGGAGCUCCUGCUGCAUGGGGGGGGUUGGAAAGUUUCGGCGGUUGGGGCUGGGCUCGCGGCUUAUCAGCGUGUUGGUGGGGUUGUGGCUGACCAAGGCUUUGAAGGGUAGCCGGCCUGAGAGGGUGACCGGCCACAUUGGGACUGAGAUACGGCCCAGACUCCUACGGGAGGCAGCAGUGGGGAAUAUUGCACAAUGGGCGGAAGCCUGAUGCAGCAACGCCGCGUGCGGGAUGACGGCCUUCGGGUUGUAAACCGCUUUCGCCUGUGACGAAGCGUGAGUGACGGUAAUGGGUAAAGAAGCACCGGCUAACUACGUG
RNAcentral lists this ribosomal RNA (468 nucleotides) under uncultured bacterium. RNAcentral describes it as "partial 16S ribosomal RNA". It matches the Rfam family "Bacterial small subunit ribosomal RNA", at positions 28 to 507 of the family's 1533-position model. The record is from RNAcentral.